UGAAUCCGCGCGGGAGAGUUCCCAGCAGUCUCGUCAGUCUCGCUGGGGCGCCGAAGGAGCAAGUCCCUCCCUUGAAUCUCUCAGGCCCCGUACCGCGCGGGCGAG
RNAcentral lists this non-coding RNA (105 nucleotides) under Actinobacteria bacterium OK074. RNAcentral describes it as "Glycine riboswitch aptamer". It matches the Rfam family "Glycine riboswitch aptamer". From Rfam's summary of the family: This family represents the bacterial glycine riboswitch. The record is from Rfam by way of RNAcentral. RNAcentral also lists the same sequence under 1 other name. Lineage: Bacteria; Bacillati; Actinomycetota; Actinomycetes.